UCUGGAAUAAGAUCAUAAAUAAAGCCCUAUAUAGAGUGUAAACAACAAAAAAUAAUGUAUGAAAUCAUUGUUUAUUACAUCUGCUUGCAUAAUAAUAUUGAAGUUGAAACUAACAACGAUCACGUGUAUCCUGUCAACCCCUGAAAAACAUAAUAUUGUCUUCUUGACUACUUCUGCAAACCGUGGUCUGGUAAAAUGAUAUAUUGUUAUAGUGUAUGUUAA
This 222-nucleotide long non-coding RNA is filed under the name Mytilus galloprovincialis (Mediterranean mussel). Lineage: Eukaryota; Metazoa; Mollusca; Bivalvia; Mytilida; Mytilidae. The record is from RNAcentral.